RNAcentral lists this ribosomal RNA (200 nucleotides) under uncultured bacterium. Its description in RNAcentral is "partial 16S ribosomal RNA". It matches the Rfam family "Bacterial small subunit ribosomal RNA", at positions 328 to 539 of the family's 1533-position model. The record is from RNAcentral.
ACGCUCGACACCUACGUGAGGCAGCAGGUGGGGAAUAUUGCACAAGUGGGGGAAACCCUGAUGCAGCGACGCCGCGUGAGCGAAGAAGUAUUUCGGUAUGUAAAGCUCUAUCAGCAGGGAAGAAACUGACGGUACCUGACUAAGAAGCACCGGCUAAAUACGUACCAGCAGCCGCGGUAAUCUGAGCGGGCUGGCAAGGC